CUUCUAUGGCUGCCUUCUCUCCAGGAAUCCAAUCCCAACUGGGAACGGAGGAGGAUCACCACAAGAUGAAGUUAGACAAGAAAAUAGCCAUAUUACUUACUGUUGCUUGUGGCAUUCUGGCUAUAAUCGUCCUUGUCUCGUUGUUUGGUUGUUGCAUUUAUUAUUGGAAGUUCUGGCAUAGAAAGAAAAAUGCCCAGCUUUCAGAUGUUGAGAAAGGGGUAUCAGUAACGCCAUUCUUGGGUAAAUUUAGUUCAUUGAGGAUGGUUAGUAACAGGGGAUCAGUUUCAUUGAUUGACUAUAAGCUACUAGAGAAGAGCACUAAAAAUUUUGGAGAUGACAAUUUAUUAGGCAAGGG
Molecule: unclassified non-coding RNA, 355 nt
Filed under: Hevea brasiliensis (rubber tree)
Lineage: Eukaryota; Viridiplantae; Streptophyta; Magnoliopsida; Malpighiales; Euphorbiaceae
Source: RNAcentral